CAGCGACAAUUUUUCGUAAGAACGCGUU
Molecule: small RNA, 28 nt
Filed under: Bombyx mori (domestic silkworm)
Lineage: Eukaryota; Metazoa; Arthropoda; Insecta; Lepidoptera; Bombycidae
Description: ovarian small RNA-13224
Source: RNAcentral